Danio rerio (zebrafish) is the source of this 83-nucleotide non-coding RNA. NCBI's taxonomy places the organism in Eukaryota, Metazoa, Chordata, Actinopteri, Cypriniformes, Danionidae. The record is from Rfam.
GUCAGAAUGGCCGAGCGGUCUAAGGCGCUGCGUUCAGGUCUCUGUCUCCUCUGGAGGCGUGGCUUCAAAUCCCACUUCUGACA